CCAUCCAUCCAUCCAUCCAUUCUUCCAUGGAUCUAUGCAUCUGUCCACCCAUCCCCUCAUUCUUUCAAUAUUUAUUGUGUAGCUAUUAUAUGUCAGACAUUCUUCUUUACUCUGCAUAUAUGAAAGAGAACAAGGCAUGAAAUUCCUGUUCUCAUGGAGCUUCUGUUCUACAAGAGGAAGGGAGAUCAUAAAAAUAGUUAACACACAAUACGAUAACUUCAGAGAGUGGUAUGUGCUCUGAAAGCCGUCCCAUUGGGCAACAGUACAGGGAGUGACCAGUGACAGGUGGGCAGAGUUGAGGAGGGCUUCUUUAGCGAAGGUGAUCAGGGAAAGCCUUGCAAAGGAGAUGAUAGUGAGACUGAAGUGAAAAGGAGACAGUCACAUGAAGGCCUGGGCAAGGGAGAACAUUCCAGGCAGAGGGAGCCACAGUGAGCUGAUGUCACUGAGGAGCCUCCAGCUAAGCAGCAGCUUGGAGACAGAGGGCCAAGCAGAGGCGAAUCAGACAAAAGCACACUCAAAUCUUGGCUCAGCCCUUUAGUAUCUGUGGGACAUGGAGAGAGGUGCUAACCUUCCAAGCUUUUACUUCUCUAUAUGUGAAAUGGAGACACUAAAACCUCACUCAUAGGGUGGGUGAAAAGAUGAAGUCGUAUACAGAGCAUGGUCCUUGGCAUGAGGUAGCUUAUCAAGCCCAGAUACUUCCAAAUCCUUCUGCCAAGUGAAAGUCAUCGUGCUUCUCACAUCAGCAUCCUAAGACAGGCAGGAAGAUUGAUCACCUUGCUUCUGGUAACCAGUUUCAGACUGACAUGUCUGCAUGAUUCCACCUUCAUUCCAUAUUUUAAAAAUGCACCAUGUACUCCCUUUAUUAAGCAUGUCACCCAGCUCUAGUUACUGUGAAACUAGAAGGUCACAGCUCAGCUCUGUGCUCAGAAAUAUGGCACCUGUCAGGUGCAUGAUUUAGGAACUUGGCCUUCCUCAGUGGGACCUCAGUGUAGUAAAAUCAAGUCAACGAUUCAAUCCAUGGCUGCUGAUAAAGACUGGGAGAAAUAUGAAGCUGCUGUCUUAGCAAUACACUUUUCAUUAGUGAACUUUUUUAGUAAGAUGACAUUGAAAUCCACCCCCCCAGCCUGGUUUCCAAAUAGCUCAGCACUGUAACCUGAAUAAGACGUGGUGACUCUGCUGGACAAAGACCAAAAGCCUUGCGAGGGUGUGGGACAGACAACAGGAUACAUCAGUGCAGUUGGCUCAGUUUUGCAAGGUUAGACUUCUCUCAUUUGAUUUCACUUACCUCUGGCUAUUUUCCUUUUCUUUGCCAGAGGAACACUGGCAAAUGUUUAACAUCUGAUUCUCUGGAGGUGGGGAAAGCUUGAAUUAAUAGUGUUUGUCUAAUUCCAUGAUAGAAGUAUUUCCAAUGUGGCCAGUUUCGAGUUACUCCCACGAUGUCACUGAAUGCACAGCUACAAAGAGAUGGUAACAACUGGCCCCUGCAAACUGCUAUGAAUUGGCUCUAGGGCAACACUGCUACACCAUCUCCCUACGAAUAACAGGGAUCCCCUUUGUGGGGUUGGACACUGUACAUAUGUAGCUGGCACUACAUGCAUGAUAUUUCAUAUAAUCUUAACUAUCAUUGUUUGAGGCUGGGAUUACUAUUGCCAUUUCAGGGAUGAGAAUAGCAAGGCUCAGAGAGAUUGUGUAGCCAGCAUCGGUUCACAUAAUUAGCAGGCAGCGAAGUUGGGAUUUGAAUACUGUGGGCACCUUUCAUGUGGCACACUCCUCCCCACUCUGAGUCCUCCUCUUUCUUCCCUGGGAAUGAGUAGCUUGCUUCCUAACAAGCUCCAGGGCUCCAGUGUCCCCUGGAUCCUCCCACAGUGCUCUUUUGCACAUGGACCCCUCCACUCCCAGUUCAGAAUGAAGUCCAGUUUACUUAGCUUGGCUCCAGGGUGCAGCCUGUACUUCCUCAUCCAAUCUCUCUACUCUAGCAAAAUGGGUUUCCCCACGGUCCCUAGAUGUGUGUGAGAUGGUUGACCUUCUUGCAUUAUCAGCUUCUCCUUAUUCCACUUAGAUGCAACGAUCUCAUUCAAACUCUGUCUUGUCCUGCUAGUCCUGCUAGCCCUGCUAAACCACUUGAGCCCCUGGAGUCUCUUCCUCCCUGGAGCUUCUACAGCAUUCCUAUCUGGACCAUUCGCCAGGUGGUUAACACUGGAAACAAAAACUAUGUUGUUUGCUGGUUUGGAUUUCUUACAGCUCCCAGGAGACCACAAGCUACUUGGAGGUAGGACCAAGUGGUGUACAUAACGACCAGACAGCCACAAAGAGUCCCUUGCUCAGACAGGUGUUCAGCAACUCUUCCCAGAGCAAAACAUGCCUGUCUUGCCCACUGCGGAGUAACUGCAAGGCAGCGCACUGCUCCUCUGGGGUCUCAGACCCAAUGGCAGCCUUACAAGAAUAAACUCAAGCUGUUUUAAAAAAUAUUUUUAAACAGCAAACCUCUCCUCUCUAAAUGACAUUUAAUUGCUUCAAAGAUCAAGAGAAGGCAACUUCUUUGUGGCUGGGCGUGCAAACAACCUGCGUUCUUCAGGGCUCUGGGUAUGGGUUACAAGAUUCAUCGUGACUCAAUUCUCCAAUCCACUGAGUUUUGGAGGACACAGGCAGUGUGUCACUGCAGAUGGACUGCCAACCCCCAAUUAAACUGUUCUGGAUGGCUACUGGUGGUGACCUUCAGGUGACAUUGGUCAAGCCUCAAAGGAGUGUGGCCACCCAACCCUAGCAGAGUUUGAGUGUGCCAGGUGCUCAUUACUGAACCCACUUCUCAGUCUACAUCAAACAACCAUGCUGGCCAGAAAUGGUGUGCUGAGUUCUGACGAUACAGAAACACCACACUACUGAUGAUACAGGUGCAUACAUGAAACCUCCUGGUGGCAGGAAGACUCGUUCCUGAGGGCCUGAUGGCUCCCACACCGAGGAAUGCUCUGCCAGAGGCCAGUCCAUUUCAGGCACAGUUAUAACCCACUCCAUAAAGGUUGUGCCAGGGAGAAAAUUAUGACAGGACCUUGCUUGAAAGAAGAGGCAGUCACAAGGCCCCAUGGGGCUUACCUUCCAGGAUGGACUGGCCCUGGGUUUGGGAUUGCAUCAAUUUCAUUUCUGGCUCUCAUGAGUCGGAUUCCCUCUUUUCUCAGAGUAUGGAAGCCAGUGGAGCGUGGCAAAGGUGUCUGGCACCCUGUCUUUGCUGCUUCCUGUGAAAACGAGAUGGUCUGCCUGAAAUGAUACAUUGGCUGUUUCAUUUCUGGGCUCCCCUUGUGUCUUUUUUUUUUAAAGACAGAGACGGGGUCUCACUAUGUUGCCCAGGCUGUCCUCGAACUCCUACGCUCAAGGAAUCUUCCUGCCUCAGCCUCCCAAAGAGCAGGAUUAUGAACGUGAGCCAUUACGCCCAACUUCCCCUAAUCUCUUGUGCUUGGCAUAAUGCUGGUAUGCAGUAGGUGCUCAAUAAAUGCUGACUUGGGUGUAAUAUUGAUGAACUCCAAAAAGCUUACUGGAGAGUGUGUGCAUGUGUGAGUGCACAUGUGUGAAUGUGUGUGCAUGUGUGUGCAUGAGUGCAUGUAUGAGUACUUGCAUGUGGGUGCAGAUGUGGGAGUGGUGUGUGAAUGUGUGGACAUGUAUGUGCAUGAUGUACACAUGUGUACAUGCACAAGUGUGUGAACGUGUGUGUGUGUGUGUACGUAUGUACUGGAUCAAGGUCAGGCAGAGCUGGCACUCAGAUGACCACCAGCACCCCGGUCCCAAAUUCGGCAGCAGCAACCAUUUGGUGCCUACCCUGUUCCCUUCUCAUUUAGUGCCAUCUUCACCAACCCGCCAGGAAGACAAGCUUGAUUCCAUCUUGAAUAUGAGGAAAAUGGAGGCUCGCUGAUGUGCAGUAGCCCUUGCAAGGCCUCACAGUGUGUGCAGGGAGAUGUAGAUUCCUACAGUGGAGUCUGACCCCACUGUCCCCUAUGCUGCAGUGCCUUCUGGGCAGAUGCCAGGCAUCAGACCAGGGAAAUUCUGCCCCACAGUGAGUGGGGCCAACUGACGCUGAUGUGAGUGUAUUCCAUAGUGGCUGUGUGUGAUGGAGAGGGAGUGGGAUUGGUACUCAGGGGCUUAAGGAAUGGCAUCUGGUAUAAUGGUAUCUGAGGACAUGGCACAGAACAUGGUAUGCCACAGCCUCCUCACCUUAUAAUGGAAGUAACCGUGCAUACCUCCUAGCGUCACCGUGGGGGUUUAAAUUCUUACAUGUGAGGUGUGUAUAACUGCACGUGGUAUGCAGGAAGCGCUCGGUAGCUACGCUCCUAGUACAUCCUCAUAAGCGAACACUUACUAAUCUAGUUGUUGUGCUGGAAAAUGUGGCGCUGGAAAAGACCUGGAGCUUGACCAUGACACAGACAUUCAGGCUACGGAUCCUGUGUCCACCGUUUACUGAGAGGGCCGUGGGUGAGUGACGUGGAGUGUGGCGUAACCUCCCCAUGUCGCCCUCUCCUAGUGCAGAAAUUGGAGACAGUGGGGGAUCCCUCACAGGGUUGCUGGGAUGACUGAAUGAGGUAAUAGACUUCACAGAUCCCACAUAGGGUCUGGUACGCAGUGGUCCCUCAACAGUGGACAGACAUUAUUAGGAUCUGGUCAUAUUCUGAGAACAAAGCUUGACAAGUUCUGGAAUCAAAUGUCAUUGUCAAAUGUGCCUGCUCAAUGCAAUUCUACUUGGCUACUGGACUCUCUGCAAUAAUUUGUCUGAAAGAGAGGCAGAAGCCCCCAAGAGAUGAAUGGGCUGGUUUUAAGGAGAGAAUGAUUUUAAGAGGCAUUGAGGGUGCCCUGGAAGCCAUCCCCCUACAGUGCAUAUCAGGCCAAAUGCACCUGUCAGCACCUGCAUUCCUUUGCCAGAGAACUUGCACCAGCAGCCAAAGGCCUUUGCUCAUCUAUGCAGCAGGCUGAAUGCGAUGAGAAUCAGCACCUCUCUCAGGAGCAACCCUCACCCAAUGACUGGGGUACUUAUACCUCAGCUCCCUUGCUCCCCAUGAGACAAGAAGAAUACAGGGUGGUCAUAGAAGAAUAGAAAAUUCCAGGCAGUAGUUUCACAUGAUUAGCAAAAGGAAAAUGUUGAAAUAGCUGCAGAAGCUAGGGGCUGAUAAGACCCUGAAAAAACAAGAGUGUGGGCCAAGCUGGCUAAGACCAACUGGACCCAUCGUGGUGGUGGAUUUCACUUAGGUUUUCCCUAGGACCUCAAUAUAUGCUCGUUAACAUACUAUAUCACACACCCACCGGCACCUCGAUGGUUCCAGGAACACCCAUAUUUGGUGCAAAAAUGGGUGACACCUCAGUUAUGAGAAAUCUCCACCUUUUUCCAGGAAUCUUCAUGAACAUUCCACUGCUUGGUUAAAGAAAUCCAUAGAGGUAGCAACCCCAAUCCCCCUUGAGAGCGAUUCCUUCACUCUUGAAAACGCUCACACUCACCUUUCUUGAGUGUAUACUUUUUGCUUUGCAAUAAACCAUACUUUCACUAUUUUCUGACUCAUUCUUGAAUUUCUUCUCACAGUCAAGAGCCUGGACAAUGACUGGGGUCAAGGACUCACUGGCGUUUGGGGACCUCCCCCAGCCUACGAUAUUACUUGGAUGGAAUAAGCCCAGGAGUGUGUUCCUCUGGGAUUCAGCUCCUGUACGCAUAGUGGUGGCUGGAUGGACAAUGCAGAGUGUGUGGGCUGUGUUCCUCUCCUGUCCCACUUCCUGCUCUCCCGCUGGUAUUUUAUGGGAUUUUCUGCCAACUAAACUAUUUUCACCCUAACCCUUGUCUCAGCAUCUGCUUCGGGGGCAAUCCAAAGUAAGACUGUCCAAAGUAAGACAGUCACAGUCAUGUUAAUAGAAUUCCCACCAGACAGCGGUUGAUUGUUCCAGAGGCCAAUGCCCAGAGCAGCAGGAAGUGACUUCAUCAAGCCAGAGUGGUGAAUUAGUUCCAGUUGUUUUUCCUGAGCCUCUCAACAACAGGAGAGGCAAGCAGAGCACAGUAGGAACUGAAUGGGGUUUGCGUGAAAGAAAAAUCCAGGGAAAGGUGUCCUGCAGAACGUGCACGGACCUGACCCGAGUCUAAGCUUGUAAGGGGCUUGGUGCAUGGGAGUUGGAGAACCAUCUCGGUGUUCAUAUUCUGGCAUCGAAAUGAGAACAUGAGUGCAUUUUAUUGUAUCUUUGAGGCAACCCUGGAGGCUACACCUUGAAGAGGCAGCCUCAUGAAAUGGAAGGUGCCAAGGAUCUCUGAACGUUAUGGAGCAGAGCCAUCCCACCCCACCAUCUGCAGUUCGACUGUAAUAGGAGGACUGAGAGUUUUAUUCUGGCUCAGUCGUUUCAGCCAUCACAGAAUUAAGUAAUGACAAAGUGAAUUAUCAUCCAGCCCUGGCUUCGGCAAGGAAUGUAACCUGCAGCCGAGAUCCCUCACUGCUGGAGCACUCACACGACUGUCUAGGUAGUGACAUGAAAAAUGUCCCUAGAAUCCCCCAGCUCAGGGCCAUACAUCCUCAGAGUCUCGACUCCACACUUGGUGGGGAAGAAUGUUGUUUUAUUGAGAAGGGGAAGAGGGUGUAAAUAGAUUCCUCUUAAACAUUACAUUCAUCCUUGUUAAUCAAAAAUUAGUAGCUCUUAAAAAAAAUAAACACAACUCAGCUCCCCAGGAAGCUGAUAGUAGUUCCCGUGGCCCGUUUAAUUACACAAAAUGAAACAAAACAUAUUCCUCUACUCCUCGCCUGUGGAAUUAACAAAAUGAAAUAUAAUGGUGGCCAUAUCUGGGCAGUGGGAUUAAAGGUGAUUUUUAAUUUACUUCUUUAUGCUGCUCCAUGUUUGUUAAUUUUUUUGUGACGAGCAUGCAUUGCUCAUAAAAAAGUACUUCAAUGUGUAAAAAAAGGAAAUAUGGGAUUGCAUUCCCAAAACCUGUAAACAAAAGAAAUAUAUGUACACCUGUUGCAACUUUUUAGCAGUUCACCUGCCCAUUCUCUGAUCAUUCCCCAAGAGGAAGGCCAUGUUUUCCUGAUUCCCACUCUGUCCCUAACAACAGUGCCUGGCACAUAGUAGGUGCUUAUUAAGCAGCUGCUGAGGCAACUGAAAAAUAGCUAUUUUUAAUCGGGAGAAAAAUGGCUAUUUAACAACCAUGGGUUUCUAAAGACAGAGAGCCCUUUUGGUCUUCUGGCAUGUUUCCGUCUGUUAAAAGGGAAUCUGAAGUUCUUUCGAGGUGGGGACUGCAUAGAAUUGAAUCUUUCUGCAGAAGGUCUUUGUCUCUGUGUAACUGGUGACACAGGUGACAACACGGAUGAAUCCCACAAUAAUUGUGCUGAGCAGAAGGAGCCAGACAAAAAAGAGGGCAUACUUUAUGAUUCAAUUUAUAUGAAGCUCUACAAAAUGUACACUAAUCUACAAUGACAGAAGGCAGAUCAGUGGUUGCCUGGGGCUGAGGUAAAGGAAAGGAGGGGCAGAAAGGAGGAUGCCAAAGGAGUCCAGGACGUUUCUGAGGAUGCUAGACACAUGCACGAUCUAGAUCACGGUGAUAGCGUCAAGGGAGUGCACAUAUGUCAGAACUCAUCAACUUGUGCACUUUUGCAUGUCAAUCACAUCUCCAUGGAGCUGUUUAAAAAGAGAAAGUGCAGAGGAGAGGGAGAAAUUGGAGAGAAGAGUCCCAAUAUGUGCUGAGGCUGGGUACAUGCUGGGAUGAUGUGCCUUGUGAGAAAUACAGACGGAUGGGAUGCUGAGAAGGAUGGAAAAUCGAGGGCUUUCCAGGGUCUCAGGUUGAAGUUGUUUGAUGUGAUGUGAUGUAACUGCCCUUUCCAUGCCUCUAAACAUCCUCAGUGAGUUAGAUCACAUGCAACCAAUUCUGAUGACAGUGAGUGUGUGUGUAUGUGCGUGUGCACAUACACGUGUGUGUGCAUAUGUGUGCCAAGGGAGGACUGGGGAGAAGGGCGACAUGGGAUGCCACAGGCUGGCACAGGCAGGAGAUUGAGACAGCUAAGAAAUGGAACUAGCUUGCAGAAGUGGAAGCUUGAAGCCAGAUGUGACCUCUGGAAAGUCAAGGCUUCCUUCUCCAAUCCUCUGGAAUUUGCAGAAAUCUUGGGAAGCCUCUGGGCUGCUACGGGGCAUGCAGUCAGGACUUAUCAACUUAUCACAUAUUUAUUUAGUUCUCAAAGGCAGGCAGAUCCCAGCUGACAUCUGGAUGCUGCUCCCACACUCAGUGGCUGUUUGUUGAACAAAUGCAGGAAUAUUAUUUUGAUUUGUUGACAGAAAAACAACUGGUGCUAUUUUGAAUAUUGGCAACAGGAGGCAGAAUGAUGAUGAAUGGGCUGCCACUGGGGCUUAGGUCACCUUUCAUCUGGUUAGCAUGUUUCACAAUGCCCGUGCUUUGGGGGCCAUGUCUUAUAAGUCAUGCAUUUAGCAAACAUUGGCCGAGGGCUUGUCACGGGGCAGGCACUACACAAGAUGUUGAGAGGAAACCACUGGAUGAGAUUCAGGCCUUCCCCUAAAGAGCUCGCAGCACAGAGUAGAACACACACAAAUGAAGAUACCAUAAUGCUGGUAGGGGUGUACCAUGGGGGUUGGCAAACUAUGGCCCAUGGGCCAAAUCUGGCCCUCUGACUCCCUGUGUCAACACAGUUCUAUUGGAACACAGCCAUGCCUAUUCACAGAUGUGGCAGCUUUUGGAUUACGAUGGUCGAGUUGAGUAGCUGAGACACAGAUUGUGUGGUCCAUAAAACCUAUAUUGUUUAUCAUCUGGCCCUUUAUAGAAGAAACUUGCCAACCGUGCUCUAACAGAAGACAAUACAGGGCAAGACGCUGGACUGAAGUAAGAAGGUUGGGGUUACUGACCCGGCUUGUUAGCAAACCCAGCUCUCAGUGUUCCAGGCUAGAUCAUAAGAUCAGUUAGGGCUAAGCAUCCUCCUCAUACCGCCUGUGUGAGUUAGCAAGAAGCAGAAUGGACUUCCAAGAGCAGCCCCUGUCUGCCCAGGAGGAAGCACAAAACAGAUGCUCCUGGCCGCAUCAACUUUCCAAGAAAGCAGUGUCUUGAGAGCCUCAGCACUGGGAACCAGGCAACACCAUCUCCCCAUGGUGGCCUCAGGGAGGUUCAUCAAAGCCAACGGUGCCUAGUCAGUGACACUGGGAGAAAGUAAAGAAACAGAAGCAGUUUCUUGUAUCUUUUUAAGCCCAAAGGGGAGGCCCAAACCAAGGAAGUGCAUCAAAUAAUAAUUAAGUGAAGAUAUUUAAUUAGCAUUCAUUUGCACUCUUUAUAUUAAAGUCAGUCCCUGAUGGAAAUCCUUUGUUAUCCUUUGCAAAGACAUAUUAAAUAUUAACUCCUGAACAGGACACACUACAGUCCUGUACAGUACAGCCUGGUUAAAAACUGUCUUUGGAAAUAAUUUAUUUGCAAUUCAUUCGUUAACUAACAAACAUGUAUUGAGUGCCUAUUAUUUGCCAGGCCCACUUGAAGACCAACAUGGUCCGUGCCCUCAAGGGGUUUACAGUUUAGUGUGGGGAGACAGGUAGUGAAUGUUCAGGCAAGCAAGCACACUUGAUCUUUGUUACUCACCAUAGCUAUGUCCUAUAAAACUACUGUAGGCUGGGUGCAGUGGCUCACGCCUGUAAUCCCAGCAAUUUGGGAGGCCGAGGCGGGGCAGACCAC
This 9664-nucleotide long non-coding RNA is filed under the name Homo sapiens (human). RNAcentral describes it as "HSALNT0387364". The record is from RNAcentral. Lineage: Eukaryota; Metazoa; Chordata; Mammalia; Primates; Hominidae.